GAACUAAGUCACUGAAGAAGUAAACCGAUGAAAACCGAUUUGGAUUGUCUGAGAGAUGUAAUUGACUGAGUUCAGGACAAAUGUGUCAACUAUAUUGUAGGCCUAUUACUUUAACAAUAAAAUCACAAUAACUGUUUAUUUUUUGGCUGUAGGACACAAGUAAAAGGAGAAGAAUGCUGCUCAGCUGGGUCGGCGAAGCUCUUGGAUAUCAUCUGCAUCUAUGAAGGCACCGGUAGGCACAGAGUCAUUCCGGUAGGCACGGAGUCGUUCCUCGAUGGACGUGAUGACCUGGCACCAAAACCGCUUAAUGUGUAUGAAGCUGUCUGCAUCGAGGGAAGAACCCAGCACUGAAGUGACACAAAUGAAAGAAGGGGACUUCUGCUCUGCUGGGUCUGCGACACUACUUAUCUGAGGAGUCCUCAAACAUCAGGAUGUA
Molecule: long non-coding RNA, 436 nt
Organism: Engraulis encrasicolus (European anchovy)
Lineage: Eukaryota; Metazoa; Chordata; Actinopteri; Clupeiformes; Engraulidae
Exons: 3
Source: RefSeq, a predicted model, not a curated record